This 236-nucleotide ribosomal RNA is filed under the name uncultured bacterium. RNAcentral describes it as "partial 16S ribosomal RNA". It matches the Rfam family "Bacterial small subunit ribosomal RNA", at positions 524 to 758 of the family's 1533-position model. The record is from RNAcentral.
UACGAAGGGGCUAGCGUUGCUCGGAAUUACUGGGCGUAAAGGGCGCGUAGGCGGAUGUUUAAGUCGGGGGUGAAAGCCCGGGGCUCAACCUCGGAAUUGCCUUCGAUACUGGACAUCUUGAGUACGGGAGAGGUGAGUGGAAUUCCGAGUGUAGAGGUGAAAUUCGGUAGAUAUUCGGAAAGAACACCAGUGGCGAAGGCGGCUCACUGGACCGGCAUUGACGCUGAGGUGCGAAA